GGGGAAUCAGGCUGCACCUAGUAGAGGGGGGAGUCUCAAGGAAUUUGUGGAUCUAUUUUUAAGCUACCAGGAAUCCGUGUGAAGCGAAGUAGGAGUCUUGGCAGGGAGAGGGGCGGACGGGGAGGGCAUGUUAUGUCAGGCAAAUGGUCUACCUCAAUUCAAGCUUCUGCGUUCUAGAUUUAAUGUGCUCAACAUCGCAGAGUAUACUUAGUCUCUGACUGCAAGUAGAUGGAUGCUACAUUGUAAGUAUUCAAGCCAGAAAGAACCUUCCAGAUCAUUGAUCCAACUUCCUCAUUUUACAGAAGGGAAAACAGGCCCACACAGGAGCAGUGACUUUCCCAGGAUAGCCAGUGAGUCAGCGGCCUCUCCCUGCCCAGAAGCCUGAUUUCCUAACUCUGGGGCAGAACUUUUCCCAGUAUUCCAUACAAGGCUAUUUGUAAUGGGGCUUUUUCCAAAAUCAGGCUGAGAUACCCUAAGAAGAGAUGAGCUCUAGAGAAGGUGAUUUCAGGGAAGAUAGAAACAAGCUGAAUUUGGGAUUCUCAGGAACUGCCAAGACGCUGAGGCCCUUCUGGCCCUGAGACAAGCUGCCCUCCUUCCAGAGAUGGCCAAGAGCGAGGCUGGCCAGAAAGAGAGGAAAUGGAAAUAAGCUCCCAGCUGCCUCACAGCCCCUCACAGCAGCCAGAGCAGUCACCGCUGCUUGCCGAUCGAGAACAUGGAGCAGAAAACUCCUGCUAUGUGGCCAGUCCUUCUCAGCAACUCAGGAACACCGGGAGCAGCUCAAGGCCAGAGCGUACAAUGAUAAAGAAAUAGACCAAGCUCUUCCCACUUCAUCCCUGCUUGUCGGACGGGUUGGGCCUGGACUGACUCCUCUCCUCAGACAGACCCCAUGGGCAGCAGUGCUGAUUUGGGGCAGUUUCCUGAAAUUGCAGCAUGGACCAAAUCACAGGCUUUGGACUGCACCACUCAUUGCCUGGAGGAACCUUCCUUCACUGGGCUAAACUUCAGCUUCCCAGCUAUGAGACGGGAUCGCCUCUCCCUUCCUCUGUGUGAUGCUGUGCGGAUUCAACAGGCUGUAAAUGUGUGAAGCACCAGCACACAUUAGACGCUCCAUACAUGCUCUAGAACUUUCUCUUACCCUGUGCAGGCAAGAUCUGCUUUCUACCAUAGUGCACUGCGCUAUCCAUACAACAAGGAUAAGAAUACGUAUUGUACUCAGUUAUGAGAAGUAAAAUAUCUAGAAAUUACUCAAUUAUUGCUAGAUGCAUCCCGAUCCAGCCCUCCCCCUUGACACCAAGUAGUUAGGCAGGAACCCACGACACAGAUCUCAUUUCCCCGUGGCUCAAACCACACUGCGCUACACCUACGUGUUACACCGGACCACGCGGGGUGAGUGAGCGCUGUGGGAGCAGGUGCCGAGGAGGAGCGGGG
Molecule: long non-coding RNA, 1428 nt
Filed under: Equus caballus (horse)
Lineage: Eukaryota; Metazoa; Chordata; Mammalia; Perissodactyla; Equidae
Description: lncRNA (ENSECAG00000045915.1)
Source: RNAcentral